UACGAAGGGGGCUAGCGUUGUUCGGAAUCACUGGGCGUAAAGGGCGCGUAGGCGGCUUUGUAAGUCGGGGGUGAAAGCCUGUGGCUCAACCACAGAAUUGCCUUCGAUACUGCAUGGCUUGAGACCGGAAGAGGUUAGUGGAACUGCGAGUGUAGAGGUGAAAUUCGUAGAUAUUCGCAAGAACACCAGUGGCGAAGGCGGCUGACUGGUCCGGUUCUGACGCUGAGGCGCGGAAGCGUGGGGAGCAAACAGG
Molecule: ribosomal RNA, 253 nt
Filed under: uncultured bacterium
Lineage: Bacteria
Description: partial 16S ribosomal RNA
Rfam family: Bacterial small subunit ribosomal RNA
Source: RNAcentral